Molecule: ribosomal RNA, 627 nt
Filed under: uncultured soil bacterium
Lineage: Bacteria
Description: bacterial SSU rRNA
Rfam family: Bacterial small subunit ribosomal RNA
Source: RNAcentral
UGACGCUGGCGGCAUGCUUUACACAUGCAAGUCGAGCGGCAGCGCGGGGGCAACCCUGGCGGCGAGCGGCGAACGGGUGAGUAAUACAUCGGAACGUGUCCCGUAGUGGGGGAUAACCCGGCGAAAGCCGGACUAAUACCGCAUAUGCUCUACGGAGGAAAGUGGGGGACCCGCAAGGGCCUCACGCUAUGGGAGCGGCCGAUGUCCGAUUAGCUUGUUGGUGAGGUAACGGCUUACCAAGGCGACGAUCGGUAGCUGGUCUGAGAGGAUGAUCAGCCACACUGGGACUGAGACACGGCCCAGACUCCUACGGGAGGCAGCAGUGGGGAAUUUUGGACAAUGGGGGCAACCCUGAUCCAGCCAUGCCGCGUGCGGGAAGAAGGCCUUCGGGUUGUAAACCGCUUUUGUCCGGAAAGAAAAGGCAUUCCCUAAUACGGAGUGCACUUGACGGUACCGGAAGAAUAAGCACCGGCUAACUACGUGCCAGCAGCCGCGGUAAUACGUAGGGUGCGAGCGUUAAUCGGAAUUACUGGGCGUAAAGCGUGCGCAGGCGGUUCGUGAUGUCUGAUGUGAAAGCCCCGGGCUUAACCUGGGAAUUGCAUUGGAAACUAGCGGGCUGGAGUGUGG